CCUAUGGGUGGCUGCAGUGGGGGAUAUUGCACAAUGGGGGAAACCCUGAUGCAGCGACGCCGCGUGUGGGAAGACGGUCUUCUGGAUUGUAAACCACUGUCCCCAGGGACGAAAAUGACGGUACCUGAAGAAGACGCCCCGGCUAACUACGUGCCAGCAGCCGCGGUCAUACGUAGGGGGCAAGCGUGAUCCGGAUUUACUGGGUGUAAAGGGGGCGCAGACGGCGAUGCAAGCCAGGAGUGAAAGCCCGGGGCCCAACCCCGGGACUGCUCUUGGAACUGCGUGGCUGGAGUGCAGGAGGGGCAGGAGGAAUUCCUGGUGUAGCGGUGAAAUGCGUAGAUAUCAGGAGGAACACCGGUGGCGAAGGCGGCCUGCUGGACUGCAACUGACGUUGAGGCCCGAAAGCGUGGGGAGCAAACAGGAUUAGAUACCCUAGUAGUC
Molecule: ribosomal RNA, 441 nt
Filed under: uncultured bacterium
Lineage: Bacteria
Description: partial 16S ribosomal RNA
Rfam family: Bacterial small subunit ribosomal RNA
Source: RNAcentral